Molecule: long non-coding RNA, 1033 nt
Filed under: Mustela putorius furo (domestic ferret)
Lineage: Eukaryota; Metazoa; Chordata; Mammalia; Carnivora; Mustelidae
Description: lncRNA (ENSMPUG00000028672.1)
Source: RNAcentral
UUUGAGAGUAUCCCCAGGGAAACAGAACCAUAUUUGAUGAAUUAGAGUAAAUUAGUGCAUGAAUCUUACUUAAAAGUGAGACUCUGACAACUUGGGUAGUGAAAGAUCUUUAUUCAGAUCUGCAAGGAUUAACCAUUUACUAUAACAUGUGUAGGAUACUGGCCACGGAAUUCUUCGAAAAUACAGGUUUUGGGAAAAAUGAGUAACCUACUUGUCCACUAAAAUUCUCAUUUUGGGGGCAUGAGUGGCUCAGUCAGUUAAGUGUGGGCCUUCAGCUCAGGUCAUAAUCUCAGGGUCUUGGGAUCAAGCCCCCAGUUGGGCUCCCUGCUUUCUGUGAGCCUGCUUCUCUCUCUUCCCUGCUCAUGCUCCCUCUCACUAUCUUUCAAUCCCUCAAAUAAAUAAAAUCAGAAAAGGAAAAAAAAUUUCUUAUUUUUGGAUAUAAAUCCUAGCAUUAUGUGUGCUAGCAAAACACACACACACACACACUCUCUCUCUCUCUCACACACACACACCACCAAACAAAAAAUGGUUUGGAGGUGCAAAUAAAAGGCUAAAUGAAUUAUGAUACACACAUCAAAUGGAAUCUGUUGUGCCCCUCUAGAGAGCAAAAUGGAGUCUCUCACGUCAAGCAGGGACCUGAGUCAAGCAAUGCAGCAAGCAGUUAAAGGUACCGCAGCUGGGAGAUAUCGCCAGGACCCCCGUCAGCUGACACCCCAGAACUGAAAAUGAGCAGAACCAGAGCAGGUCUGCAGGGACCCGAGACCGAUUCGAUCCCUUUACAAAGGGGAGGGUUUUGGCAGCACAAUGUCAGAAAUUUCAGACCUGACCUCUCCACGUCUGACCACUUUAGAAAGGCAACUGCUGCUGAAGGCUCUGCCCGAGGGAUCUCCGACCAGAACCGAGAGCCUUGCCUGCUUGAAGGUCCUUUACGUCACUCAUCACCAGGGAAAUGCAAAUCAAAACCACAAUGAGAUCAACUCACACCUGGUAAGAUGGCUAUUAUUACAAAAACAAGAGUUGGGUCGGAUGUGGA